AUUGCAGACGAUUUUUUUCCCCAGUAGACUUGUUUUCAUUACCAAAUCAGACAUGCAGGUUCUGCUACGCACCGGUUGCCAAACGCUUCUCAGAUUUUCACUCUCAAGCGUCAAGCCCAUAGCCGUAUGCCUUUCGAGAACUUUGGUCUCAAGUUGCAGAGCAGAUGAAAGCAAUGGAAACAGAAGCCGAGCUCUGGGAAGAUCCUUGAGUCGGCGUUCGUUGCCUUCUCCAUAUGCGGCAAUGUGAUCAUUCUGCCUCAACCCAAGCUGCUUAGAGAUUGUUUCGCAUCUCCAUCAAAGAUGAACCCUUGUAUUGAUGGUGCCAGUUUUUGAUAUUCACAGUCAAUAAAGUUCUUUUCUUUUUCUCUAUGAAGAUUGAGUUUGAUUCUUCAUACAGGUAUGCUUGGUUACCUUUAUUUCUAGAAUUUGUACUUUAUAUUUAGGCCACAAGUUCGCAUGAUGGUGGUUAUUUUGCCACCCUUAGAGAAUUGCUCAAUUUGUUUUUCCAGAAUUAAACCGGCAAUUCCACUUUGUUACUGUUGUUAAAUGAGCAAGAAAUCCUUGUUUAGAUUUAAAAUUUGACCAAUAAGAUGGCUGUGGGUUUUCUAUCAUA
Molecule: long non-coding RNA, 613 nt
Organism: Macadamia integrifolia
Lineage: Eukaryota; Viridiplantae; Streptophyta; Magnoliopsida; Proteales; Proteaceae
Exons: 2
Source: RefSeq, a predicted model, not a curated record